RNAcentral lists this long non-coding RNA (1852 nucleotides) under Homo sapiens (human). RNAcentral describes it as "PREDICTED lncRNA (TCONS_00163781)". Lineage: Eukaryota; Metazoa; Chordata; Mammalia; Primates; Hominidae. The record is from RNAcentral.
GGCACUUGCAACUUUAUUGCGCCAGCAAGAACAUGCAUACAGCCCAGUCUAACGUACAGGAUCAAAAAGAGACCUUAUUUCGGCUGGCAAUUACCUUACCCGCUUGUUCAUUAUCUGACUCCUGCACUCCUCCCAAGUGUUCAAUGUUAACCAGAUGGCAAAGUUAACCAGACAGAGGAAAUCCACAUAAUUACUCUAGAUGAAGCCCCCUAACUGCGGAUUAGAAGGAAAAGAGAUGAAGGGUGCUGCACUAAUAAUAACAACCAUUUUCAACCAAGGCAGGAUUCUGGGCCUAGAAUCUUCAGUGACAAAUUACCAGGAGAGGAGGAGGGAAAUGAAGAGCUGGAGGCCUAGGGAGAUGGUGUGAGGAGAGGAGACUGUGCCUUUCCACUUCUUAAUAAUUAAUGUUCUCCUGCUGCUCUGAGUCUGCAUGUAAGUGGAUUUGUGACCUCUCAGCUGAUGAAAACCAUAGCACAAGAAGAGUAAAAGUGUGCUGCCUUGUUUCUUACUUGCUAAUUAGCCACCUGAGCCCAGGGGGGUUUAUAAGUGGCCUCAAGCCCAAUUACUGAUUUUGUUCCCAGAGGCAGAGAAGGCUUGAGUCAAAUCACCCUGAUUCUCAGGGGAAAGGCAGCACCGAGCAUCCAGGGUACCCUCUAAUGGCCCAGGCCUACUCUUGUCCAGCAAUGUACCACCAAGAUGUUGAACUUUAAAGGACUAUGUCUGACCAGGAAGGACCUGCUGUCUAGAGCUGCCAUUCUGAUUCUUGGAGCUCGUAUACAGAUACAUCCGCAACCAUGGGGCAGGAAACAGAUGUACCAGUGCAGUCAAGACCAAUACCUGCUCAUACCUGUGGCCAAAAGCAUGAUGCCCCAGGCUCUGCCUCCAAUUCUACCAUCUUCUUCCAUCUUUCUCUUUUAUCAGCACCAGUGAUUCAGUUUGAGUCAGACAUCCAACAACAACUGAGCAAAAGAAUCAUCUCAGAUCCAAGCAAUGGUGACGCGCAGAUAGAAGAGACUGAGGCCAACGACCAAAGCAAAGGACAGCAGAACUGACUGACACAGCUCAGAAAAUAUCCAAAGCUCUGUAUGCUCUGGAAAGGAAGACAAGAAAUGCUAAAGACUCUGGAUAUUGCUCUGUUUCUAUAAGGUCCCACCCAUAUACCAUCUCUUCUUUUGGAUUUCCUUUGGCAGUAACCUGAAGUUAUAUAAGUGGCAUGUUCCCAAGUACAAAGGGAGCCCUUCUAUUGCUUCUGCUUACAAAGAGGUGUCAACCUAAGAAAAAGCCAGAACAAGCCAAAGUUCAGGGUUCCCUUGUAUGGAAGUUCUCAGGAGAACAACACUCUCAGAGUCCCACUGUCUCAAAGAAUUCUUAAUGGACAGCUAUACUUGGCCCCAAGGUUUCAACCUCACACUGAAGAAAGUGACAUAAGAAAACACAAGUCCCAGUGCUAUCAGGGGCUAUCUGGAAAAGCUGCUUAAACAGCAAGUGAAAGAAGGCUCUCCCCUACCCCGUUCUAGAUGACAGGUCCUAUGUAAGAUACACAUACCACAUGCUGUCAACCCAUCUGAGACACUCAGCUUUCAAAUGACAGUUCUUCUCUGAAGCUAACCUAGCCAAAAGAGUGAAAUACACUAUCUGUUAAGCUGUGUCAGUAGCUAAGUCUGUGUGUCUAAAUUAAAAACAUACUCACCCUGAAGUUAUUUGAAGGAUCCUUGAGACUCUUUUGGAUUGCUGCUUGGAGAACAUUCCUGUAACUUGUCCCUGCUCCUUGAACUAUAAAAGCAGAAGGGAGGUACUGAGUUAAAACUUACAAAUUAUUAUCAAAUAAAUCUUCAAUAGUGGUUCAGUCCAA